CCUACGGGAGGCAGCAGUGAGGAAUAUUGGUCAAUGGGCGGAAGCCUGAACCAGCCAAGUAGCGUGAAGGAUUACAGCCCUACGGGUUUUAAACUUCUUUUAUAUAAGAGUAAUGUGCACUACGUGUAGUGUAUUGCAAGUAUUAUAUGAAUAAGCAUCGGCUAACUCCGUGCCAGCAGCCGCGGUAAUA
Molecule: ribosomal RNA, 190 nt
Filed under: uncultured bacterium
Lineage: Bacteria
Description: partial 16S ribosomal RNA
Rfam family: Bacterial small subunit ribosomal RNA
Source: RNAcentral